This 463-nucleotide ribosomal RNA is filed under the name uncultured bacterium. RNAcentral describes it as "bacterial SSU rRNA". It matches the Rfam family "Bacterial small subunit ribosomal RNA", at positions 339 to 794 of the family's 1533-position model. The record is from RNAcentral.
GUACGGGAGGCAGCAGUGGGGAAUUUUGGACAAUGGGCGCAAGCCUGAUCCAGCAAUGCCGCGUGCAGGAAGAAGGCCUUCGGGUUGUAAACUGCUUUUGUACGGAGCGAAAAGGCUCUCUCUAAUACAGGGGGCUGAUGACGGUACCGUAAGAAUAAGCACCGGCUAACUACGUGCCAGCAGCCGCGGUAAUACGUAGGGUGCGAGCGUUAAUCGGAAUUACUGGGCGUAAAGCGUGCGCAGGCGGUUUUGUAAGACAGGCGUGAAAUCCCCGGGCUCAACCUGGGAAUGGCGCUUGUGACUGCAAAGCUGGAGUGCGGCAGAGGGGGAUGGAAUUCCGCGUGUAGCAGUGAAAUGCGUAGAUAUGCGGAGGAACACCGAUGGCGAAGGCAAUCCCCUGGGCCUGCACUGACGCUCAUGCACGAAAGCGUGGGGAGCAAACAGGCUUAGAUACCCUGGUAGA